Molecule: long non-coding RNA, 5468 nt
Organism: Bubalus bubalis (water buffalo)
Lineage: Eukaryota; Metazoa; Chordata; Mammalia; Artiodactyla; Bovidae
Exons: 5
Source: RefSeq, a predicted model, not a curated record
CGGCUGCGCCUGCGCCUGCGCCUGGGCCGCGCGGUUCAGACCUUGCAGACCUGGUCCCGCGCCAAGCGGCCCCGGAGGCGGCGCUUGGCCGCCCGCACCGCUCCUUCCGGGCACCGAGUCUCUCGGACUGGUCACGCAAGGAGAGAACCUGUUAUCUGGAGGUGAAGGACUCUGCCCCAGGAUGGGGAAGUCUGCCCCUUUCCCGGGAUGCGCGCUGAUGCUUCCCCAGAGGUGCCAGCAGUUUGCAGCUCGUUGGACUUGGCGGCCCGUGAGAAACCUCAGGCGGCUAGGGUGCGGAGUGGAGAGGGCACGACAAACCGGGACGGGGACAUCGCUGGGGCCCCAUUGCGAGGGCCCCCUUGGGUGCAGCCUUCCUCUGGAAGAUGGCCUUCCACUUACUGACCCAAGAGGAAUGAGGGCCUUAAUAAGAGAACUCCUCCACCCCACACCAACACACACUGAAAACCUGCCCCGUGGUGUCUUCACUCAAGAGGCGCUCACUUUUCUCCUUUCCUGGUUACCUGGUCUUUCCCAGCAAAGGCCAGGUCUGGUUGUUGGUCCCCACCCUGCGGGCAGCGAACUUAGUAGGUCCUGACGCUUGCUUGGCUGACAGCACUCCUUCCCCCACCCCAACCCCAGGCUGCAUCCAAGCUUCACCCCCUAAUCCAAGGCCUCUGUCUGUCCUCCUGCCCGCUAAGAGUUAGGAGUAAUGGGGUUUUCAUGACUCCAAGACUUUCCCAACGAUCCCCAAAGUCGAGGAGAAGGGCAUGUUCAUUAGAAUCUCAUCUUUUUGAGAUGGGUCCACCCGGAAUCUUCUGGAUAUACGCAAGUAAGUGUUAGUUGCCCAGUCAUCCCUGACUUUUUGCUACCCCAUGGACUGCAGCCCACCAGACUCUUCUGUCCAUGAGAUUUUCCAGGCAAGAGUACUGGAGUGGGUUGCCAUUUCCUUCUCCAGACAAUCUUCCCGACCCAGGGAUCGAACCCAGGUUUCCUGCAAUGCAGGCAGAUUCUUUACCGACUGAGCUACAAGAGAAGCCAGCCAAUAAAAGCCUGUGCCUUUUCUAAGAUGAGAACCACCCAAACAAGAUGAAUAGGGCCUGUCCAGGAUGUAGUAUAGUCACGUAGUCCUGUCCAACUCUUUGAGACCCCAUGGGCUGUAGCCCGCCACGCUCCUCUGUCCAUGGAAUUCUUUAGGCAAGAAUACUGGAGUGGAUUGCCAUUUCCUUCUCCAAGGAAUUGAACCCAGGUCUCCUGCAUUUCGGGCACAGUCUUUACUGUCUGAGCCACAAAGGAAGCCCUCCUGGGAUGUAACGUUCCCCUCUCCUAGAACACUCUUCAUUUUUGCUGCUUUUUAGCUUUUUCAGCCCUUCUUUCUGUCAACAUAGGAAAAGGUCUGAUUUCUCCCUCCAGUUUGCCUGAAUUAGCUCUUUGAACUCUGUAUUUCUGUCGGUUGUCCACCAUUUUAGAAAAACCAAGUGCUCGGACAACCCUGGUGGUCCAGUGGUUAAGAACAUACCUGCCAAUGCAGGGGACACGGGUUCAAUCCCUGGUCUGAGAGGAUCCCACAUACCUUGGGGCAACUAACCCCAAGUACCUCAACUACUGAAGUCUGUGUGCCCUAGAGCCAGUGCUCCACAAGAGAAACUGCCGCGAUAGGAGUAGCCCCGCAACUAGAGUAGCCCCCGUUCACUGCAGCUAAGCCUGAGCGGCAACGAAGACCCAGCACAGCUAAUAAAUAAAUUAAAAAACAGUACAGGCCCUUCAUUUCCCUCCCUGCCGCCUCCCCCCACCCCCGCCGCAACAUAUUGGUCCAAACCAAUGAUCAGACAGGCCCUGAAUACAAGGCAAGCUAACUGAUGCCACCUGACUCCUUUCUUCUUGGUAAUCUGUCUUCUCCCCUAUUAUUUUCUUAAGCACAUCCACCACCCUUUGGUACCUGAGAUCUGGAGUCCAAAGGAAUAUUAACAAAUAUCGUUUCCCGCUGAAUAAUAAUCUAAGGCAUGAGGAAGAUAUAUUGUAAAAUAUAUUUUAAAUAAUUCAAAUAGUAAGAAUCUUUAAGUGCUCAGUAUAUGGGUUUGUGGCUUAAAAAAACAGCAAGCAGAAGAAACAUCAAAGCCCUACAUGAUGCAGCCAGUACACAGUGGUCCUUAGUGGAAAGGAUGGUGGAUGUAAUCUCCCAAAUGUUGUCUUGGACUUGCACAUACUUUUUACCUUCGUUCGUUUUCUUCAUCAGAAAUGUAUCUUGGAACUCUCAGUUCUUGACAUCCAUGAGCACAGCUUAGUAACAUUUGGGCCAAUGAAUUUCUGUUCGUUUAAGCUCAGAAGCAUCCCUUGGCCUGACUUUCUCUCUCUCUUGCCAUAUCACGGAACUCUGACAUAGACUUUCACUAAAAUCCCCACCAGUAAGAUGACAAGGACCGCCAGGAGCAGGAGCCCCCGCCGCAGUACCAGCUGUCUCCCAGACAACCUCCACGCGGCCCUGGGAUGGACUUCGAGACACUCUUCUUGGCGCAUCUGCUGAUCCGACUGAGUCUCCUCUUUCUGUCCAACAUCUCUUAUCAACAUUCCUCCACGGUUUUCAGGGCCCACUGGAGGGGAAAAUGAACUCAGCACCUUAAAAGGAUAUUUUUCAUCUGUAUAAAAGGAAAAGCACGUAUGCAGUACCUGCUGGGAGAAUGAUAAUUCAGGAAGCAGUUGCUUCCUGACCAUGAAGAAUAAAGAAAAUCCUGACUCAGGUGUUGUCCAUGAACCCACAGACACUGACUAGAUCCUGGUGGGGUCAGCAUGGGCUCUACCCUAUUGCAUACAAAGCCAAGUAAGGUAGCACUUUAGGUUAACAGUUUUGUUGUUUAGCUGCUAAGUCGUGUCUGGCUCUUUGCAACCCUAUGGACUGUAGCCUGCCAGGCUCCUCUGUCCAUGGGAUUUUCCAGGCAAGAAUACUGGAGUGGGUUGCCAUUUCUGCCUCCAAGGGAUCUUCCCAACCCAGGGAUCAAACCUGCGUCUCCUGCACCAGCAGGUGGAUUCUUUACCACUGAGCCACCAGGGAAGCCCUAGUUUAACAGGCUUAGGGGAAAUGUUCAAGGGGGCCAGCACUACCAAAUUAGCAUCUCAGAAAGAAAAUAAGGUCAGUGGAGGAAAGGAUGACCUAAGAGGUGAUUCAAGAGCGUGACAGCACGUUGGCGGGGGAGAUGCAAGCCUUCCCGUUAGAGGACCCUCUUAAAACCAGGCAGGAUAGUGACCCAGACCUAAGUUUAGUCUCAUGGUACUUCAGAAGAGGAACAGUAAGGAAAACACCCUAAAUGCUUGCACCUGUACUGAAUUGAUCACCUGCAACUCUUAAUCAUCUAUGGCAGCAUGUGAGUCAACAAUUAAAGCAAACAAACUUCAGCUGUUUACCUGAAGCUGGAUGCUCCCUAUCGUUUGUUUUGGAGGCAUUAUUUCCCUAUUUAAAUGGGAGCUCAGCACAGCAAAUCUAGUUGUGAACACCUAGAGGGGCCUUUCCAAGAGCAGGGGCAGAUGUAUCAUACCUGGGCAAAGUGGGUCUUGAGGGAGCGUGGCCAUCCCGUUCCCAGCCAUUCUUUGCUUCAGAUUGGCAUGUUCCUGAGCCUAGGAGAGGGAACGCGUCAGUCCAUAGGCUCCAUCACAGUGCAGCCACACACCUGGCCGUACCCUUGCUGAGGAAAAACCCAGCCAUUUUCUCUCACUGACAGGGCAGGACAGCAGCGUCCAUAGUUACCUGCUGGCAGGCUUUUUUCCAGUUUAGCCGGGCAAUGAAGCCGAGGAAACACGCAGCCUGAGAGAUGGUACAGAUGGUGAUUCCUGACCACAGACCUGGAGCCGCGUCUCAAAAUCUGUCUCCACGCUCUGACAGCCACCUCCCAGGCCGUGAUCCCGGCUCUUCCUGCUCUGGGGGAGGCUUACCCAGCAGUCCAAGCCCAGCAGCAAACAUGAGGGAGAUCCCGAUGGGAAGACCGAGCACGUAGUACCCGACAGCGUUGAUGAUGGCGCCCGCCUUCUGGUUCCCGGUGCCGCGCAGGAUGCCUCCACAGGUGCACUGCGGGCAGACACCAGUCGUGUGAACACGGCUCAUGCUGCCCCCACGACGCCCACCCCAGCACCCCCCACCUCUGGGGACUCAGCCUCAAGUCCAGGGCCUCAUGAAGUGGACAUGAGAGGAAUAUCCCACCUCCCCGGCCGCUCUCUCCGUUAGAAUCUACCAUCGUCAGCAGAAACUCGUGGAUCGUAAAGGCGGCUGAGGUGGUACCACCGCUCAGUACUCACAGCCAGCCCUUCGAAGAGAUGCGAAACCGCGUAAAUCGGGACCACCUGGGCCACCAGCGAGACGAUCUCUCUGUCAGGAGAGCAAAGCAGAGCAUGACUGGGAGGCGGACCUGGGCAGAGAGGAGGGCAGUGUGGUUCCUGGUGACCGUAUUCUGACCGCCAGGCAGGGCUCCGCGUCCGUUUGGAGCCAACAGGCUCAGGUGUCCUGCCAACAACCUUUUCAGGGACAGUCCUACCUUGUUUUGGUCUGCAGUGGAAACUACUGUAUGCAGUAUCUCAAGACUUUUAGAAAACAUAUAGUCCCUGUGGUCAACAUAAACAGUUCAGCCAAAUGAUUUCACUAAAAAAGAAUACAUAUAAUGUAUACAUGUAGCUGAUUCACUUAGCUGUACACCUGAAAUUUAACACAACACUACAAAUCAACUAGACUCCCAAUAAAAUUAAAAUGAAAGUCAAUCAAAUGAUUCUGUACUCCUCUCCUGCACCCCCCCAAAAUAAAAUGGGGGUUAUAGAGCCAUCCUUCUUUUCACACAAUUCCACGCAUGUCCCCUCCAAGUAUCUGAGAGAUGCACAACAGGAUCAGGGUCAGCCUCCCUCCAGGGAACCAGGCUGGCAAGUUCUAAAGGCCACAGAUAGAGUUUACAGAGCUGGCCUUGACCCUCACCUCUACAGCUAGAGACAGAAAGACACUGCCAGGGGCCGGAAUGGCCGAGUAUUCCCAAUUCCUUCAAGUGGUUAACGAAGAAACAUACAAUGCUGUCUGGCAGUAAAUGUUGGUUGAAUGAAUAAAUAAUUAAGACAUCCAGCACAGAACAGGAUGGUCACCCCUCCCUGCCAAACAAGGACAGAAGUACAGUUCUUUUAUUCAAAUGUUAUUUUGCUUUUGAAUAGGUAACAUAUGCCAAUGGUUAAGAGAAAUUAAACAACAUGAAAAGCAUAUGGAGGAAAAUCUUAUUUCCAUUCCUUCCCCACUCCUCCCGUGACCUGCCCCCAAACCAAGGAACAGUUCUGGGCACUGUCUUUGUCCAGUGCUCAUGAAAAUAAAAGCAAGCACAAAUAUAUGUUCUUCUUUCCCCUUCUGGACCUGAUGUAUGAUUUCAUGUUCUGACAUUCUCUUCAUGGUGUUCUGUACCUUGACUUUUCUGCCUCGUGUAUUACAUUCACUUUUAAAAAAUCUUAUUUAUUUA